UACAGAGGUCUCAAGCGUUGUUCGGAUUCAUUGGGCGUAAAGGGUGCGUAGGCGGCGCGGUAAGUCGGGUGUGAAAUCUCGGAGCUUAACUCCGAAACUGCAUUCGAUACUGCCGUGCUUGAGGACUGGAGAGGAGACUGGAAUUUACGGUGUAGCGGUGAAAUGCGUAGAUAUCGGAAGGAACAUCAGUGGCGAAAGCGACUGCCUGGUCCAGCAUCGACGUUCAGGCACGAAAGCGUGGGGAGCAAGACAG
RNAcentral lists this ribosomal RNA (253 nucleotides) under uncultured bacterium. RNAcentral's name for it is "partial 16S ribosomal RNA". It matches the Rfam family "Bacterial small subunit ribosomal RNA", at positions 524 to 776 of the family's 1533-position model. The record is from RNAcentral.